This 372-nucleotide ribosomal RNA is filed under the name uncultured bacterium. RNAcentral's name for it is "bacterial SSU rRNA". It matches the Rfam family "Bacterial small subunit ribosomal RNA", at positions 524 to 898 of the family's 1533-position model. The record is from RNAcentral.
UACGGAGGAUGCAAGCGUUAUCCGGAUUUAUUGGGUUUAAAGGGUGCGCAGGCGGAUUGGUAAGUCAGUGGUGAAAGCCCCCGGCUCAACUGGGGAAUUGCCAUUGAUACUGUCAAUCUAGAGUACAGUUGAAGUGGGCGGAAUGUAGCAUGUAGCGGUGAAAUGCUUAGAUAUGCUACAGAACACCGAUUGCGAAGGCAGCUCACUAAGCUGAAACUGACGCUCAGGCACGAAAGCGUGGGGAGCAAACAGGAUUAGAUACCCUGGUAGUCCACGCUGUAAACUAUGAUCACUCGUUGUUGGCGAUAUACUGUCAGCGACUGAGCGAAAGUAUUAAGUGAUCCACCUGGGAAGUACGAUCGCAAGGUUGAA